This 537-nucleotide ribosomal RNA is filed under the name uncultured Chlorobiota bacterium. RNAcentral describes it as "bacterial SSU rRNA". It matches the Rfam family "Bacterial small subunit ribosomal RNA", at positions 359 to 904 of the family's 1533-position model. Lineage: Bacteria; Pseudomonadati; Chlorobiota. The record is from RNAcentral.
GGGGUAGAAUAGGGACGCACGCUGAAGCAGCAACGCCGCGUGAAGGAUGAAGGGCUUUUGCUUGUAAACCUCUGUAGUGAGGGAAAAAAUUUCCACUCUGUGGAAUAUGAUGGUACCUCAAAAGUAAGCCCCGGCUAACUACGUUGCCAGCAGCCGCGGUAAUACGUAGGGGGCAAACGUUGUCCGGAUUUACUGGGUGUAAAGGUGCUCAGGCGGUUUUGUAAUUCAGAAGUGAAAUCCUAGGGCUUAACUCUGGAACUGCUUUUGAUACUGCAAGGCUUGAAUGUGGAAGAGGAGGAUGGAAUUUCUGGUGUAGCAGUGAAAUGCGUAGAUAUCAGAAAGAACACCAGUGGCGAAGGCGGUCCUCUGGUCCACUAUUGACGCUAAAGCACGAAAGCGUGGGGAGCAAACAGGAUUAUAUACCCUGGUAGUCCACGCCUUAAACGAUGAAUACUAGACGUUGGGGUUAAACUCAGUGUCGCAGCUAACGCAUUAAGUAUUCCACCUGGGGAGUACGAUCGCAAGGUUGAAACUCAA